ACAGGGAUUGCCUCAGUAGCGGCGAGUGAAGCGGCAAGAGCUCAGAUUUGAAAUCGCAGCGGCAACGCAGCGAGUUGUAGAUUGCAGGUGGGAGAGUUUGCGGGCGGCGGGCGUCGAAGUCCCUUGGAACAGGGCGCCACUGAGGGUGAGAGCCCCGUGCGAUGCCUGCCCAUGCUUUGAACUCCCCUCUGACGAGUCGAGUUGUUUGGGAAUGCAGCUCUAAGCGGGUGGUAAAUUCCAUCUAAGGCUAAAUACUGGCGAGAGACCGAUAGCGAACAAGUACUGUGAAGGAAAGAUGAAAAGCACUUUGAAAAGAGAGUGAAACAGCACGUGAAAUUGUUGAAAGGGAAGGGUAUUGGGCCCGACAUGGGAAUCGCGCACCGCUGCUCCUCGUGGGCGGCGCUCUGCGCUUUUCCUGGGCCAGCAUCGGUUUCCGCUGCAGGAGAAGGGGCUGUGGAAUGUGGCUGGCACGCUUGCGCGCCAGUGUUAUAGCCACGGGCCAGAUGCUGCGUGUGGGGACCGAGGGCUGCGACGGCAACGUCUCGGAUGCUGGCAC
Molecule: ribosomal RNA, 556 nt
Filed under: Pichia norvegensis
Lineage: Eukaryota; Fungi; Ascomycota; Pichiomycetes; Pichiales; Pichiaceae
Description: eukaryotic LSU rRNA
Rfam family: Eukaryotic large subunit ribosomal RNA
Source: RNAcentral